CCUACGGGUGGCUGCAGUGGGGAAUAUUGGACAAUGGGCGAAAGCCUGAUCCAGCCAUGCCGCGUGUGUGAAGAAGGCCUUCGGGUUGUAAAGCACUUUCAGUGGGGAAGAAAGCCUUGGGGCUAAUACCCUCGAGGAAGGACAUCACCCACAGAAGAAGCACCGGCUAACUCCGUGCCAGCAGCCGCGGGUAAUACGGAGGGUGCGAGCGUUAAUCGGAAUUACUGGGCGUAAAGCGCGCGUAGGCGGUCUGAUAAGCCGGUUGUGAAAGCCCCGGGCUCAACCUGGGAACGGCAUCCGGAACUGUCAGGCUAGAGUGCAGGAGAGGAAGGUAGAAUUCCCGGUGUAGCGGUGAAAUGCGUAGAGAUCGGGAGGAAUACCAUUGGCGAAGGCGGCCUUCUGGACUGACACUGACGCUGAGGUGCGAAAGCGUGGGUAGCAAACAGGAUUAGAUACCCCAGUAGUC
Molecule: ribosomal RNA, 466 nt
Filed under: Vreelandella stevensii
Lineage: Bacteria; Pseudomonadati; Pseudomonadota; Gammaproteobacteria; Oceanospirillales; Halomonadaceae
Description: partial 16S ribosomal RNA
Rfam family: Bacterial small subunit ribosomal RNA
Source: RNAcentral